RNAcentral lists this ribosomal RNA (468 nucleotides) under uncultured bacterium. RNAcentral's name for it is "partial 16S ribosomal RNA". It matches the Rfam family "Bacterial small subunit ribosomal RNA", at positions 28 to 507 of the family's 1533-position model. The record is from RNAcentral.
GACGAACGCUGGCGGCGUGCUUAACACAUGCAAGUCGAACGGAAAGGCACUGAUUUUGUGGUGUGACCGAGUGGCGACCGGGUGAGUAACACGUGAGUAACCUGCCCUUGACUUUGGGAUAACUUCAGGAAACUGGGGCUACUACCGUAUAGGAGCUCAUGCUGCAUGGUGGGGGUUGGAAAGUUUCGGCGGUUGGGGAUGGACUCGCGGCUUAUCAGCUUGUUGGUGGGGUAGUGGCUUACCAAGGCAUUGACGGGUAGCCGGCCUGAGAGGGUGACCGGCCACAUGGGGACUACGAUACGGCCCAGACUCCUACGGGAGGCAACAGUGGGGAAUAUUGCACAAUGAGCGCAAGCCUGAUGCAGCAGCGCCGCGUUCGUGAUGACGGCCUUCUGGUUGUAAACCGCUUUCGCCUGUGACGAAGCGUGAGUGACGGUAAUGAGUAAAUAAGCACCGGCUAACUACGUG